AACGAACGCUGGCGGCAGGCUUAACACAUGCAAGUCGAACGGGCGUAGCAAUACGUCAGUGGCAGACGGGUGAGUAACACGUGGGAACCUUCCUAGGGGUACGGAACAACUCAGGGAAACUUGAGCUAAUACCGUAUACGUCCGUAAGGAGAAAGAUUCAUCGCCCCUAGACGGGCCCGCGUCGGAUUAGGUAGUUGGUGGGGUAAAGGCCUACCAAGCCUACGAUCCGUAGCUGAUCUGAGAGGAUGAUCAGCCACACUGGGACUGAGACACGGCCCAGACUCCUACGGGAGGCAGCAGUGGGGAAUCUUGGACAAUGGGCGCAAGCCUGAUCCAGCCAUGCCGCGUGAGUGAAGAAGGCCUUAGGGUUGUAAAGCUCUUUUACCAGGGACGAUAAUGACGGUACCUGG
This 410-nucleotide ribosomal RNA is filed under the name uncultured bacterium. RNAcentral describes it as "bacterial SSU rRNA". It matches the Rfam family "Bacterial small subunit ribosomal RNA", at positions 29 to 482 of the family's 1533-position model. The record is from RNAcentral.